Long non-coding RNA from Leptopilina heterotoma, 360 nucleotides. RefSeq lists it as uncharacterized. The transcript is spliced from 3 exons. The record is from RefSeq and is a predicted model, not a curated record. Lineage: Eukaryota; Metazoa; Arthropoda; Insecta; Hymenoptera; Figitidae.
AAUUUGUAAGUAUAUUUUAAAUUUGUUGUUUUCCUUUGUUUUGAAUUUUUAUUAACCAUGGCUCUUUUUGUAGGUGGUUAGAAACAAAAUUUUUUUUUUUUUUUGGAGAGGAAAAGGCAUCAAGCAGUGGAUUUUUGUUUUUCCCCAUCAUUUAUUUCACUUUCUAUUUGAAUUUUAAUUGGAGGUUCCUGCUUACAAAUUUUCUAUGAUUUGUGGGGGUUCUUGGCUUUUAAAAUUUUAUCUUGGGUACCCUGUGCCCCCCUUUUAUGACGUGUGUUUUUUUUUUAUACAAUAAAUUUCAAUAUAAAUUGCUUAAAAAUAAAUAUGUAAUAAUAUUUUAAAAGUAUUAUUAAACCAGAG